This is a long non-coding RNA of Cryptomeria japonica (Japanese cedar), 1553 nucleotides long. RefSeq lists it as uncharacterized. The record is from RefSeq and is a predicted model, not a curated record. The transcript has 2 exons. Lineage: Eukaryota; Viridiplantae; Streptophyta; Pinopsida; Cupressales; Cupressaceae.
GCCCGCACAUUUGAUUGAACAGUACGAAUUUUGGGGAGGGAGCUUUUGACGGGACAGUUUGAUUGGACGGUGGCGUCAUGGCAUGGGGGCAUGGAGAAGGGAAGGCAUGGCAUGGGCGGGCCAUUUUGGCCCCUGCUUAGCCAUUGCCCUAAAUUUCUAAGAAUCUCUGUAGACUGUAGUUUCUAGUUGGUGGUUAGGGUUCGAGUAUUGUUUGCAUGUUACUCUGAGGUGGCGAUAAUUCUAGAAUCAGACUAAAAGAGGACAUAUUCAGAGGCUAUUGAGCAAAGAACAGGGGGAGAAGCUGAUUUCGCUAAUCAAAGGAGAUCAUGGGAACCAAUUCCCAUUCUAGAAGAGCAAAUCUGAUGGUAAGCAAGAGGAGAGUACUACAAGCUAUUCAAUCUGUAGAAGAAGAAGCCAAGAUUUUCCAAUGACAAUGGGCAGCUAAUUGUAGGCGAUAAUGAGGAUUUGGCUAAGAUUAGCUUCCCUUUAAUGGGUGCAAAUUGUAAGGGCUAUUUUUAAGGAAGUCAAUCACAAGUAUUAUGAUCGAGAGGUCUGCAGGCUUUUUCUUGUCGGCCUUUCUUGACAUGAUUGCUUCUAGCUAACGCUGUAGGCUUCAAUUUGCAAAGGGACCCACGGUUGUAAUGUGCAGUGCAGGGGCAUAUGCAAAGCACAGGGGUCUGCUGCUUAUGUGGAAGCCUUAAAGACGUGAGGCAAUGUUUUAUCAAUGCACCACACUCAAUGAAUAAGCCCAGGUCUUAAUGCUAUGGGUAAAGUGUCUGCCGCGCGAGUUCAAGGAAGCAGUGAGAGGGUGCAAUGGUCUUAAUAUUAAAGUUUUAUUUUAGAAAUAGUUUCCCAAACAGCAGAUGCCAAACAAGGAUUUUGUUUGGAGGAAUCAUGGGUACUUGCUAUCAAGAUAGAAAGAGGCAUCAGAUUGUUGUCUGAGAAUCUAAAAUGGUUGGAUAGAAAUUGAUACUCCAGCACAUUUAAAUUGGAAGAAUUGUUAUGCUUCUUUGAAUGAUUAUCAUCAGGCAUUAGAUAUGGAUGAGGUUUUGGCUCGGUAAGAAGAGGAUUGCUUUCUUCAUGAUUUCCCAUCAAAUCAGGAUGUGCUGGAUUGCUUCGGGAAGUCACUUCCAUGGGGAGUUUAAUGCUAGUUAAUAAUUCUAAGAAAAAGAGGCUCUUCACAGGACCGAGACAGAAAACCUUUAGUUGGAGGCUUGAGAAACGAUUGAUGAAGGUUCCCACCGGGCAAUGGAAAGCCUGCUUCUUGAGUCUAAUUUUUUCAUGUGCUUUUUUGUCGGGCCUGCCCUUCGGCAUUCUGUUUAUUUGGCUUUUUUAUGGUGGUCUUCUUUGUGUUAGUGGGUUUGAUCUUUAUUCUGAUGUUGAUAUUCAGUCAUGUCGUAUGGGUCUUUCCUUAGUUAUCUGAGGUGCAAAUGAUUUUAUGGUUGUAUCUGUAAGCAUGUUUUCUUCUGGUUUGGGUGAGGGCCACUGUAGAUUCCUCUCCAAUUGAUCUAAAAAACAUUGCGUGAUCGAAAAACACAAGAAAGAUUGAUUUA